This 500-nucleotide ribosomal RNA is filed under the name uncultured bacterium. Its description in RNAcentral is "bacterial SSU rRNA". It matches the Rfam family "Bacterial small subunit ribosomal RNA", at positions 100 to 595 of the family's 1533-position model. The record is from RNAcentral.
GAACGGGUGAGUAAUACUUUGGAAUCUUCCCAGUAGUGGGGAAUAACCAGUCGAAAGAUUGGCUAAUACCGCAUACGUCAGUGAAGAGAAAGCGGGGGAUCGUAAGACCUCGCGCUAUUGGAUGAGCCAAAGUCGGAUUAGCUAGUUGGUGGGGUAAAGGCCUACCAAGCCGACGAUCUUUACUGGUCUGAGAGGAUGAUCAGCCAAAACUGGGACUGAGACACGGCCCCAGACUCCUACGGGAGGCAGCAGUGGGGAAUAUUGGACAAUGGGGGAAACCCUGAUCCAGCGACGCCGCGUGUGUGAAGAAGGCCCGCGGGUUGUAAAGCACUUUUAGUGGGGACAAAAAGCUACGGAUUAAUACUCUGUGGUCUUGAUUUAACCAAAGAAAAAGCACCGGCUAACUCUGUGCCAGCAAGCCGCGGUAAUACAGAGGGUGCGAGCGUUAAUCGGAAUUUACUGGGCGUAAAGCGCGCGUAACGGUUUUGUAAGUCCAGAUG